GACGAACGCUGGCGGCGUGCCUAAUACAUGCAAGUAGAACGCUGAAGAGAGGAGCUUGCUCUUCUUGGAUGAGUUGCGAACGGGUGAGUAACGCGUAGGUAACCUGCCUGGUAGCGGGGGAUAACUAUUGGAAACGAUAGCUAAUACCGCAUAAAUGGAUUAUCGCAUGAUAAUCCAUUGAAAGGUGCAAAUGCAUCACUACCAGAUGGACCUGCGUUGUAUUAGCUAGUUGGUGGGGUAACGGCUCACCAAGGCGACGAUACAUAGCCGACCGGAGAGGGUGGUCGGCCACACUGGGACUGAGACACGGCCCAGACUCCUACGGGAGGCAGCAGUAGGGAAUCUUCGGCAAUGGACGGAAGUCUGACCGAGCAACGCCGCGUGAGGGAAGAAGGUUUUCGGAUCGUAAAGCUCUGUUGUAAGAGAAGAACGAGUGUGAGAGUGGAAAGUUCACACUGUGACGGUAUCUUACCAGAAAGGGACGGCUAACUACGUG
This 496-nucleotide ribosomal RNA is filed under the name uncultured bacterium. RNAcentral's name for it is "partial 16S ribosomal RNA". It matches the Rfam family "Bacterial small subunit ribosomal RNA", at positions 28 to 507 of the family's 1533-position model. The record is from RNAcentral.